This is a long non-coding RNA of Syngnathus typhle (broad-nosed pipefish), 1147 nucleotides long. RefSeq lists it as uncharacterized. NCBI's taxonomy places the organism in Eukaryota, Metazoa, Chordata, Actinopteri, Syngnathiformes, Syngnathidae. The transcript has 4 exons. The record is from RefSeq and is a predicted model, not a curated record.
UGUGCGCAUGUCUGUGUGCGUUUUUGUGUGUGUAUGCGCACAGGCACACAUCGCCGUGUCUCCUCAGCAAAAAUGAAUUGAGACUUUACAAGAAGAAAGCAAUUAGGCCGGGGCUUUGCCCUAUCAUUCACUGGCUAAUGUAUCAGAGGCAGAGUGAAUAUUAUUAACACGCAGGGAGGUGUAAGGCUCUGUGGGUUUUUACAGCCAGAAGUACUCAUGUGCAGACUAUUAAUUCACUGAUAGUUUCAUUGGCAACCAGUGAGCUUCAACCCAGUUGACUUUGUGGCAGAGGCGGGUAUACCCUGGACUGGUGACCAGCCAAUCGCAAGACACAACAAACUACACAUUCACUUCUCAUCGGACAGUUUCAAUUCAUCGAACAUGCACGUUCCUGGAAUGUGGGAGGAUGCUGAAGUCUCCAUGUGCCCUCCCAUUUAUGAGGGCACAUCCGUAUGGUUUGCCUCCCCGGGCGCUACGGAAGCCUCCAGUUACCACGGAGACCCCGCAACACUCGGAGGUCAGCAGAAUCCCAGGAUCCGCUAAAGUAAUCCAAUCGUGGCCUCCCUAAAUCACAUAUGCAAAAAUAAAAAGAAUUAAUUUUCUGCUGAUGACCGGCUAUGCAAAUGAUGACUCAAUUAUGGUGGGCUGGUGCGUUUGCAAUUAAAAACCUCGGAAUCAUCAUUAACUAAUAUGUUUAGGAGGAAACUUGUCAGGCUAACCAUGUUCACCAUGCCAUCGCUAAUGCAUUGAUGAAUUUGAUUCAUUAGAGAGAGAAGGGGCAAGGGAUACAGACUUGUUCUUAACUUGAGGAAUUGCGUAGUCCCUGCAACUCCUUUUCCAUUUUGUCAGCCUGAUUCAGCAGAUGAUAGCUCCUCUUCAAAAGCCUAGAAAAUACCACGACGAAUGUUCAUAAUAAAUAGAUUUCUUUGUUGGUGCUCCAUUUAAUUGCAUUAGUAUAGCACUGUGUAUCUAUCGCAAGCCACCAUACUUAAAAAACUAUUAUAAUAAUUAUAAUAAUAAACAAUAAUGUAUGUAGCACCCUUAGUAGAAAUAAAUAUCACAUGACUCUGUUUUGUAUUUAUUUGUUUUAUGAAUGUUUGUUUUUUUAAAUUAUGCUUUGGGCUCCACAAUCCUGAUUUGAACUUUU